ACGGUGAGGGAUGAAAGCUGGGGGAGCAAACCGGAUUAGAUACCCGGGUAGUCCCAGCUGUAAACCAUGCAAACUCAGUGAUGCAUUGGCUUGUGGCCAAUGCAGUGCUGCAGGGAAGCCGUUAAGUUUGCCGCCUGGGAGGUACGUACGCAAGUAUGAAACUUAAAGGAAUUGGCGGGGGAGCACCACAAGGGGUGAAGCCUGCGGUUCAAUUGGAGUCAACGCCU
This 227-nucleotide ribosomal RNA is filed under the name uncultured crenarchaeote. Its description in RNAcentral is "partial 16S ribosomal RNA". It matches the Rfam family "Archaeal small subunit ribosomal RNA", at positions 694 to 920 of the family's 1478-position model. The record is from RNAcentral. Lineage: Archaea; Thermoproteati; Thermoproteota.